This 677-nucleotide long non-coding RNA is filed under the name Ananas comosus (pineapple). Its description in RNAcentral is "long non-coding RNA (ACOM_LNC034391)". The record is from RNAcentral. Lineage: Eukaryota; Viridiplantae; Streptophyta; Magnoliopsida; Poales; Bromeliaceae.
UAUGACAUUAAAAUUUUAGAUCAAAGUUAUUGAUCUUGUUUUAUAUGGUAUAAAGAAUUUUCUAUCAAAGUUUCAUGUGAUUUGGAUAUUUCUACACCAUUAAACUUGCAACCGGCUCACCACGGCCAUUAAAAUUAUUGAUUUUGAGCCCCCUCGAUCACUAGGCAAAUGAUAUUGAAAAAUCACAAAAUUUAUUUUCUAGGUACUUCAAAUACUCUAGAUCAACUCUAACGGAGCCGAUCGUCGAUUCGAAAGUCCGAACAUCGAAAACAACUUGGAAGCACGAAGGGCUCCGUGCUUCCAUAAGCAUACCAGCCCACUCAUAUAUAUAUAUAUAUAACUAGGUUGGAAUACUAUCAAUAAUACCAAGCUAUUGGUGCUAUUGAUUUUUUAGCCCUUGGAUUGAGAAAUGAGUGGUUAGGAUGAUGUGGGCCCCCUAGGAUUGAGUGAGUGGUUGGUUGAAUAGUAUAAUCUAACGGAUAAAAAUAAUCAAAUGGUUAAAUCUAACGGUGGAAAAAUCGAUAGCAUCAAAUCCUUGGUGCUAUUGAUAGUACCCCAGCCGGACUCUGUGUAGUGUUCCGGAGGUUUGGAUAGGAUUGGGAACAGUAUUAGUGACAGGUCGGCACAUCUGGAGAGUGUCGGACUCAAUUGGAGUCAUUUCUGCACGAAAUGGAUGC